Molecule: small nuclear RNA, 23 nt
Filed under: Arabidopsis thaliana (thale cress)
Lineage: Eukaryota; Viridiplantae; Streptophyta; Magnoliopsida; Brassicales; Brassicaceae
Description: snRNA_01295
Source: RNAcentral
UGCCUGGCUCCCUGUAUGCCACA